Molecule: signal recognition particle RNA, 98 nt
Filed under: Treponema sp. Marseille-Q3903
Lineage: Bacteria; Pseudomonadati; Spirochaetota; Spirochaetia; Treponematales; Treponemataceae
Description: Bacterial small signal recognition particle RNA
Rfam family: Bacterial small signal recognition particle RNA
About the family: The signal recognition particle (SRP) is a universally conserved ribonucleoprotein involved in the co-translational targeting of proteins to membranes. Archaeal SRP consists of a 7S RNA and homologues of the eukaryotic SRP19 and SRP54 proteins.
Source: Rfam by way of RNAcentral
GAUCAGAUGCCUUUCAAGUGUCUAUCGCAAAACCCCGCCAGAGGAGGAAUCCAGCAACGGUAUGCGAUCAGAGCUGUGCUUAGGAUUAUCUGAUCCUU